UGGUGUGAACCCUGUCAGGUCCGGAAGGAAGCAGCAGUAAGCAUGUUUGCGGCGUGUGCUGCGGUCCAGUCUGCC
Molecule: signal recognition particle RNA, 75 nt
Filed under: Clostridiales bacterium
Lineage: Bacteria; Bacillati; Bacillota; Clostridia; Eubacteriales
Description: partial signal recognition particle sRNA small type
Rfam family: Bacterial small signal recognition particle RNA
About the family: The signal recognition particle (SRP) is a universally conserved ribonucleoprotein involved in the co-translational targeting of proteins to membranes.
Source: RNAcentral